UACGUAGGGUCCGAGCGUUUGUCCGGAAUUACUGGGCGUAAAGAGCUCGUAGGUGGUUUGUCGCGUUGUUCGUGAAAACUCACAGCUCAACUGUGGGCGUGCGGGCGAUACGGGCAGACUAGAGUACUGCAGGGGAGACUGGAAUUCCUGGUGUAGCGGUGGAAUGCGCAGAUAUCAGGAGGAACACCGGUGGCGAAGGCGGGUCUCUGGGCAGUAACUGACGCUGAGGAGCGAAAGCGUGGGGAGCGAACAGG
This 254-nucleotide ribosomal RNA is filed under the name uncultured bacterium. Its description in RNAcentral is "partial 16S ribosomal RNA". It matches the Rfam family "Bacterial small subunit ribosomal RNA", at positions 524 to 776 of the family's 1533-position model. The record is from RNAcentral.